UUUUUUUUUUUUUUAGUAGAAAUGGGGUUUCGCCAUUUUGGCCAGGUUGGUCUCAAACUCAAACUCCUGGCCUCAAGUGAUCCGCCCACCUUGGCCUCGCAAAGUGCUGGGAUUACAGGUGUGAGCUACCACGCCCGGCCUCCUGAAGUCCCCUGUGCACAGAGCCUGCCAGUCAACACCGCGCCUGCGCCUCCAUGAGGGGGGUCAUCUUCACAGCAGUCCGGGACAGACAUCAGGCUUUGGCCUCUCAGCUCUGGGCCCAGAUUCAGAGUCUGGAGCCUGGGCCCUGCACACACAGCUUAGGAAGCCGGCUCAGGCUGUCGGGCUCCCCGUUCCCUUCUCUGUGAUGCACCUCUCCGCCUCCAGGGAGCAGAGAGGGGAAGUGGAAGACCUCCUUACAGAACGGGAGCAAAUGUGAAGAACGGGGGGAACAUGUCACUGGGAGCUCCUGACAGGCAGAAGCACUUCUCGGAAUGUUCAGUUGUUGAUCCCGCUGCAACCCAGGCCCCGCUUCAGAGCCACAUGCUGGCGUCUCAAUGCACACAGGUGCACCCCAAACCUCAGGACAAGGUCCCCCAGCAUCCCCAAAUGCAGCAGUGCCACAUCCACCAGCUCUGGGGAAAAUCCCAACAGUCGAGUGCAACUGCCUCACAAUUCGGAUCAUCCCUCAGAGGAGGUGUGCCCGACAGCAUCCCCAGCCCCGCUAGAAAGGUCUUUCCCUCCCAUCACUUAUCUCCAGGAGACAAUGAAGGGUGUAUUCCUGCCACCUCCCUACUUCCAAGGGAUGAGGCCUGGCCUUCCCUUCUGGCUCACCUGCUCACCAAAAAGUGUCCUCCACCUGACAGAGCCCUGACCUCACACCUCCACAGACAAACCUCCCUUCAGGCUGCCUGUUCCUCAGGAAUGAAUGGAAACUGGCCGCUUCCUUUCCUGUUGGCACAUGGGGCCAAAUCUUCAGCUUCAUGGGGUGCCAGAGCACCUGGGAGAGGCAGGAAUGAGGGAGCGGUCACCCUGUCCCCAGGGGCUCCUUCUGUUCCCUUGCAGAAGGCAGGUGAGUCUUAACUAGGAUCAAAAGAAAGAUGACAAAGUAGCCUCAGCCCCUGACUUUUAGCUCCCUCCUAAGCCUUCUCCCACUACCUGUCCCUAGAAUCCUCACGUCCCAACAGGAACCGGGCAGGUUUACUGGGAUAAGGAAAAAGACACUGUCAAAUCCGAAGCAGUAUGUGUGGCCUGUUGUCUGCGAACACGCACAGCUCCUGAGGCCCUCUGUGCUAGGUCAGCCAGGAUCCUUCCUGUAGGGUGAUCUCACUCAGGGACACUGGGAGACACAAGCUGAGGGUGGGGGAAGGUCAUCCACCAUAAAUACCCAUGACACAGGGGACCUCGUAUCACUAGCCCCAGGGCCUGUCUUGAUGGAAGAGCUUCUCCCUGCGGCCCAAGGGCCCUCAUGUCCCAGGCCCAGGCUUGCAAAAGGCUUGGGCUACCUGGGGCCUGAGGAUAUUGCAGGAAGGAAAUCCUGGUGCCCCAGGCCCAGACUGUGUCUCUAACUGCUCACCAGCUGGUGUGUUGUCGGGGAUGUCGGACUCCUGGACACUUGCUAGAGAUCGGAUCAGCAGCCCUGCUACACAGACCUGCCUGGAAAACCCUCACCAUGAAUAAUUCAUGAGUAAAUAAUUAAGAGCUUCCAUGU
This is a long non-coding RNA of Macaca fascicularis (crab-eating macaque), 1690 nucleotides long. Lineage: Eukaryota; Metazoa; Chordata; Mammalia; Primates; Cercopithecidae. The record is from Ensembl.